RNAcentral lists this ribosomal RNA (732 nucleotides) under Lactiplantibacillus plantarum. RNAcentral's name for it is "bacterial SSU rRNA". It matches the Rfam family "Bacterial small subunit ribosomal RNA", at positions 347 to 1070 of the family's 1533-position model. Lineage: Bacteria; Bacillati; Bacillota; Bacilli; Lactobacillales; Lactobacillaceae. The record is from RNAcentral.
UGCAGCAAGGUAGGAAUCUUCCACAAUGGACGAAAGUCUGAUGGAGCAACGCCGCGUGAGUGAAGAAGGGUUUCGGCUCGUAAAACUCUGUUGUUAAAGAAGAACAUAUCUGAGAGUAACUGUUCAGGUAUUGACGGUAUUUAACCAGAAAGCCACGGCUAACUACGUGCCAGCAGCCGCGGUAAUACGUAGGUGGCAAGCGUUGUCCGGAUUUAUUGGGCGUAAAGCGAGCGCAGGCGGUUUUUUAAGUCUGAUGUGAAAGCCUUCGGCUCAACCGAAGAAGUGCAUCGGAAACUGGGAAACUUGAGUGCAGAAGAGGACAGUGGAACUCCAUGUGUAGCGGUGAAAUGCGUAGAUAUAUGGAAGAACACCAGUGGCGAAGGCGGCUGUCUGGUCUGUAACUGACGCUGAGGCUCGAAAGUAUGGGUAGCAAACAGGAUUAGAUACCCUGGUAGUCCAUACCGUAAACGAUGAAUGCUAAGUGUUGGAGGGUUUCCGCCCUUCAGUGCUGCAGCUAACGCAUUAAGCAUUCCGCCUGGGGAGUACGGCCGCAAGGCUGAAACUCAAAGGAAUUGACGGGGGCCCGCACAAGCGGUGGAGCAUGUGGUUUAAUUCGAAGCUACGCGAAGAACCUUACCAGGUCUUGACAUACUAUGCAAAUCUAAGAGAUUAGACGUUCCCUUCGGGGACAUGGAUACAGGUGGUGCAUGGUGUCGUCAGCUUCCGGUUUGG